Molecule: transfer RNA, 72 nt
Filed under: Olavius algarvensis spirochete endosymbiont
Lineage: Bacteria; Pseudomonadati; Spirochaetota; Spirochaetia; Spirochaetales
Rfam family: tRNA
About the family: Transfer RNA (tRNA) molecules are approximately 80 nucleotides in length. Their secondary structure includes four short double-helical elements and three loops (D, anti-codon, and T loops).
Source: Rfam by way of RNAcentral
CGGGCUGUAGCGCAGGGGAAGCGCACCUCGUUCGGGACGAGGAGGUCGUCAGUUCAAAUCUGACCAGCCCGA